RNAcentral lists this ribosomal RNA (297 nucleotides) under uncultured Pseudomonadota bacterium. RNAcentral's name for it is "uncultured proteobacterium partial 16S ribosomal RNA". It matches the Rfam family "Bacterial small subunit ribosomal RNA", at positions 29 to 351 of the family's 1533-position model. The record is from RNAcentral. Lineage: Bacteria; Pseudomonadati; Pseudomonadota.
AGCGAACGCUGGCGGCAGGCUUAACACAUGCAAGUCGAGCGGGCGUAGCAAUACGUCAGCGGCAGACGGGUGAGUAACGCGUGGGAACGUACCUUUUGGUUCGGAACAACACAGGGAAACUUGUGCUAAUACCGGAUAAGCCCUUACGGGGAAAGAUUUAUCGCCGAAAGAUCGGCCCGCGUCUGAUUAGCUAGUUGGUGAGGUAACGGCUUACCAAGGCGACGAUCAGUAGCCGACCUGAGAGGGUGAUCGGCCACAUUGGAACUGAGACACGGUCCAAACUCCUACGGGAGGCUG